ACGGAGGGUGCAAGCGUUAUCCGGAUUUACUGGGUUUAAAGGGUGCGUAGGCGGGUUUGUAAGUCAGUGGUGAAAGCCCGGAGCUCAACUCCGGAACUGCCAUUGAUACUGCAUACCUUGAGUACAGUUGAGGUGGGCGGAAUGCAGCAUGUAGCGGUGAAAUGCUUAGAUAUGCUGCAGAACACCGAUUGCGAAGGCAGCUCGCUAAACUGUAACUGACGCUGAGGCACGAAAGCGUGGGGAGCGAACAGG
This 252-nucleotide ribosomal RNA is filed under the name uncultured bacterium. Its description in RNAcentral is "partial 16S ribosomal RNA". It matches the Rfam family "Bacterial small subunit ribosomal RNA", at positions 525 to 776 of the family's 1533-position model. The record is from RNAcentral.